Molecule: ribosomal RNA, 446 nt
Filed under: uncultured bacterium
Lineage: Bacteria
Description: partial 16S ribosomal RNA
Rfam family: Bacterial small subunit ribosomal RNA
Source: RNAcentral
CCUACGGGGGGCUGCAGUAGAGAAUCAUUCACAAUGGGGGAAACCCUGAUGGGGCGACGCCGCGUGGGGGAAUGAAGGUCUUCGGAUUGUAAACCCCUGUCAUGUGGGAGCAAAUUAAAAAGAUAGUACCACAAGAGGAAGAGACGGCUAACUCUGUGCCAGCAGCCGCGGUAAUACAGAGGUCUCAAGCGUUGUUCGGAAUCACUGGGCGUAACGCGUGCGUAGGCUGUUUCGUAAGUCGUGUGUGAAAGGCGCGGGCUCAACCCGCGGACGGCACAUGAUACUGGGAGACUAGAGUUAUGGAGAGGGAACCGGAAUUCUCGGUGUAGCCGUGAAAUGCGUAGAUAUCGAGAGGAACACUCGUGGCGAAGGCGGGUUCCUGGACAUUAACUGACGCUGAGGCACGAAGGCCUGGGGAGCGAACAGGAUUAGAUACCCUGGUAGUC